Molecule: ribosomal RNA, 498 nt
Filed under: uncultured bacterium
Lineage: Bacteria
Description: partial 16S ribosomal RNA
Rfam family: Bacterial small subunit ribosomal RNA
Source: RNAcentral
AUUGAACGCUGGCUGCCUGCCUUACACAUCCAAGUCGUACGUUAACAGUUCUUUGGAUGCUGACGAGUGGCGAACGGGUGAGUAAUACAUCGGAACGUGCCUAGUAGUUGGGCAUACCUACUCGAAACAGUGGCUAAUACCGCAUUAUAUCUAUGGAUGACAUCAGGGGAUCGCAAGACCUUGUGCUAUUAGAGCGGCCGAUGGCAGGUUAGGUAGUUGGGGGGAUAAAAGCUUACCAAGCCGACGAUCUGUAGCGGGUCUGCGAGGACGAUAAACCAGACUGGGACUGCGACACGGCCAAGACUCCUACGGGAGGCAGCAGUGGGGAAUUUUGGACAAUGGGGGAAAGCCGGAUCCAGAAAUGCCGAGUGCAGGAUGAAGGCUUUCGGGUUGUAAACUGCUUUUGUAAGGAACGAAAAAACCUGGGUUAAUACCCUGGGGUCAUGACGGUACCGUAAGAAUAAGCACCGGCUAACUACGUGCCAGCCGCCGCCGUAA